Oncorhynchus tshawytscha (Chinook salmon) is the source of this 676-nucleotide long non-coding RNA. The record is from Ensembl. Lineage: Eukaryota; Metazoa; Chordata; Actinopteri; Salmoniformes; Salmonidae.
GGGGGCUGUACCGGGAUAUAGGUUAAUGAAUAUAGACUAGUGGAUAUAGGUUAAUGAAUAUAGACUAGUGGAGACUGGGGACUGUCCUGGGGGGGCUGUACCGGGAUAUAGAUUAGUGAAUAUAGACUAGGGGAGAUGAGGGGGCUGUCCUGGGGGGCUGUACCGGGAUAUAGGUUAAUGAAUAUAGACUAGGGGAGAUGAGUGGGCUGUCCUGGGGGGCUGUACCGGGAUAUAGGUUAGUGAAUAUAGACUAGUGGAGAUGAGGGGGCUGUCCUGGGGGGCUGUACCGGGAUAUAGGUUAGUGAAUAUAGACUAGUGGAGAUGAGGGGGCUGUCCUGGGGGCUGUUCCGGGAUAUAGGUUAAUGAAUAUAGACUAGUGGAAUAGAGGGGGCUGUCCUGGGGGCUGUACUGGGAUAUAGGUUAAUGAAUAUAGACUAGUGGAUAUAGGUUAAUGAAUAUAGCCUAGUGGAGAUGAGGGGGCUUUCCUGGGGGCUGUACCGGGAUAUAGGUUAAUGAAUAUAGACUAGGGGAGAUGAGGGGGCUGUCCUGGGGGCUGUACCAGGAUAUAGGUUAAUGAAUAUAGACUAAGGGAGAUGAGGGGGCUGUCCUGGGGGGCUGUACCGGGAUAUAGGUUAAUGAAUAUAGACUAGGGGAGAUGAGGGGGCUGUCCUGAGGG